This 505-nucleotide ribosomal RNA is filed under the name uncultured bacterium. RNAcentral describes it as "bacterial SSU rRNA". It matches the Rfam family "Bacterial small subunit ribosomal RNA", at positions 791 to 1299 of the family's 1533-position model. The record is from RNAcentral.
UAGUCUACGCCGUAAACGAUGGAUACUAGCUGUCCGGCUUCGGGCUGGGUGGCUAAGCGAAAGUGAUAAGUAUCCCACCUGGGGAGUACGUUCGCAAGAAUGAAACUCAAAGGGAAUUGACGGGGGCCCGCACAAGCGGUGGAGCAUGUGGUUUAAUUCGAUGAUACGCGAGGAACCUUACCAGGGCUUAAAUGUAGAGUGACAGGCUGAGAGGAUUUGGGCUUUUCUUCGGGACACUUUACAAGGUGCUGCAUGGUUGUCGUCAGCUCGUGCCGUGAGGUGUCAGGUUAAGUCCUAUAACGAGCGCAACCCCUGUUGUUAGUUGCCAGCAUGUAAAGAUGGGAACUCUAGCAAGACUGCCAGUGCAAACUGUGAGGAAGGUGGGGAUGACGUCAAAUCAUCACGGCCCUUACGUCCUGGGCUACACACGUGCUACAAUGGUAGGGACAGAGAGCAGCCACGUCGCGAGGCGGAGCGAAUCUAUAACCCUAUCACAGUUCGGAUC